UACGGGGGGGGCAAGCGUUGUUCGGAAUCAUUGGGCGUAAAGCGCGCGUAGGCGGCCCGGUAAGUCCGUUGUGAAAGUCAAAGGCUCAACCUUUGAACGCCGAUGGAUACUGCCGGGCUAGAGUCCGGAAGAGGCGAGUGGAAUUCCCGGUGUAGCGGUGAAAUGCGCAGAUAUCGGGAGGAACACCAAUGGCGAAGGCAGCUUGCUGGGACGGUACUGACGCUGAGGCGCGAAAGCGUGGGGAGCAAACAGG
This 253-nucleotide ribosomal RNA is filed under the name uncultured bacterium. RNAcentral's name for it is "partial 16S ribosomal RNA". It matches the Rfam family "Bacterial small subunit ribosomal RNA", at positions 524 to 776 of the family's 1533-position model. The record is from RNAcentral.